GAAAAAAUACCCGUACGCGUCUGCCUCCUCGCAUCGCCUCGACCCUGGCCUCUGCCUAGGCCGAGCCAACCCUAGCUGCCGCCGCACCACUCGCCGCCGCGGCCGACCUCAACCCACCCGCCGCCCCCGCCGACGUCAACCCGCCCGCCGCCCCGUCCACACCUCUUCCUGCUCGCCACCCCCGCCGCGGCGCUCGAGCGCAGCUUCUGGAUCAGGUCAACGCGGCGGCUCGACAGGCUGGGGACGAUGCGUCUGCUCGAUGCAAAACGGCGGCGGCGGGAUCCAGCGGGCGCGGGAGAAGGAGAGAUCCGGCGCGGCGGCGCGAAGUCCAUGCAAGUGGAGGCGGGCCUCCAUGGCUGGCAGGGAGAGCUCCAAGGUCAUGGCGGUGAUUCGAUUUUUCUGGUAGAGAAGAGAGACAGAGGAGGAUCCAGGGUGGAGGAGAGGUAGGAGAAGAAGGACGAGGAAGAUGGAAGGGUGCGGCAGGGGUGCAGCGGUGCGAGGGCACUGGUGCGCGUGAGGAGCGCCUCUCCUCGGGAGGAUCAGGGAGGAGCGAGUGAAACUCAAAUCGACUUCAGAGCAAGGUACUGGUGUAGAACUACGAAGAAGCAAGCUGACCAGAUGCACACGUACUAGCCGGCAACAACGAUGAAGGAAGCCAACCAGAUGUGCACAAAACUACACUACAUCAUGCCUAAUUGAAUCCUCCGGUACGUGUUCCAUUGGCUAAUAGACCAUGCUAGCUAGCUAGCAACCAUGUAAAUUCCCCACGCUUGAUUGAUUCCUUUGGGACUUUAUUAACUUCUAUAUGUUCUUCCCAUGAUUAUCUAGAUAAUGCUAACUGUUGAUAUUUCUUUCACGCAUACAUGGUUUUGCUUGGAGUUUUUCCACUGGCGACGUCUGAACUCUGAAUAUAUGAACUUAAGGAUAAAUCUUAUAGCAGAUCAAAAUCAUGGUCCACGCAAAAAGAAGAGACCAGAAUCAUGGUUGUGCUGAUUCCAUAGGGGCCUCAUGAUGGUUUGUGUUCUUUUAUUCAAAUGAAAAAACCAAGAUUAUUAUUGUAACUGUUACAGUUGUACUAGCAGGAUUAUCCUAGAAGCUGUGCCAAUUUUCCAUCAAUUGAUAACACUGUAAGGUAGUGAGUCAUCUUUCUAGACUUUACCAUGCCUAGAUUGGUUGACUUGGAUCACGUGUAUGUCUUACACUUUUAGACAAUUCUCACUUGCUAUGCUAAGCUCGAAUUUGAAGAUACAAGUUGAGGUGUGUCUUGGGACAGUGUGACUAAAAACCGAACCUUCAGUUUAUGCAAUCAGAAGAAAAGUGAAUGAUUUUUCAAUGAAAACAGAAUACUUCUGAGCAUAAGGAUGAAAAAGUGCAGCAACCGACUUGGCUUAUUGUUUUGGAAAUUGCAACCGGUGUUCUCCUUCUUGUUUUUGUGAUCACUAGUGUUGUUACUGCCUCCAGAAGCUUCAAUCUAAAGCCUUCUAUAAGAAUAUCAUCAUGGAGUAGAUCAAAAAGUUGGAGCAACGAGAUAACAGUACUGAUUGAUUCUGAUAUGCUGAAAAGUUUGCCAGAGUUGAGUCACUAGGAACUUGAAGUAGUGUGUUAGGAUUUUAGCAACAUAAUUGGCUCAACUCUGGAGACUAUAGUCUACAAAGAAACAAUGAAGGAUGGACCUGAGGUUUCUGUCAUGUCAUUAUGCGCCUUUGAAGGUCAUUGGACUAGCCAGCAUGAGCUCUUUUACCAAAACAAGGUUAUUGAUCUGGCAAGGUUGAAUCAUGAGAACAUAGCAAAGUUUCUGGGCUAUUGCAGAGAGAGUGACCCAUUCUCGAGGAUGUUAAUCUUUGAGUAAAAAUCAAAUGGGACCCUGUACGAGCACCCACACUCGGCCCAAUUCUCUUGGCUCAGAUGAAUGAAAAUAGCCAUCGACAUCGCCCAAGGUUUAAGGCUGACGACGUCGUCUAUUGAAGCCCCACCGGCGACACGACGGGACAGCUCCGACUUGUACGUGGGUGUGGGAACGCAGAUCCGCGUUGCCAGCUUACACAAGGCCAUGCUCAACGCGCCGACGCAGGGUUUAUCGCCCGUCUUUGUCAGAUAAGCAAAGCAAUCCACCUUCCUCUUUCUCAUCAGAUCCAUUUUAUUGUGAUAUUGCAUUUAAGUCAAUCAAUUUUUAUGAUUCUUUCAGUGUUAAAGAAAAUGGAAUUUACCUGAAUAAAUUGCGUGUAUAGAUAUGUAGAGGAUGAACUCAACAAGUGGAUCUUUCAAGGUUAAUUAGCUUUGCACAUUUUAUAAAAUAGAUGCAAUGGCAUAGCACCUUCAGUAUCAUGCUUGCACUCACAUGUUGUUCCAACAGCACUAUGAAUGCUGCCCAGAAUUGCCAUGCCUUCAGCUUUCGCUAUAAGUUCCUAUGAUGCUCCUUUUCAGGUGACUUUUCAUGUGAUUUCUACUUCUAAAAAUUAGAAAGUACCUUCAGAUCAAAGCAGUGGAUUUGUAGAUUUUCUGGGUAUUGGUGCUACUCCAUCUCCAUUUGGCUUACGGUCUUUGGUCACUGAUUCUGAGGUACGACGUUGUUUUACUUUUAUGUUAAAUCCCAUUUAGCUUGGCACCUCCAUUUAUUGGUUCGGACCGAGCAAAGAUCCUGUCGAGCAAUAUCACUGACUGGAAGCAUAAAUUUUCAAAUCAGUGAUGAGAUAAAUCUUGUGUACCGGUGCUUAGCAGCUAGCGAAGUGCGGCUGGUAUUUUUGGUCUGUAUGUAGGUAGCUUCCUGAUGUGUGUGGCUGUUGUUCAUUCACCACCUGAACUUAUUUCUGUUGGCUUCAUUUUAGUAAAGAUGGGGUGGGGAAAAAACUACACCCUAUAUAUGUAAGUUGACUGAAAAUAAUAAUAUGUUUCAGUAGCUAUAUUUCUCUGUUUCCUAACAUGGUUGUAGGCUAGAUGUUCGUGUUGGUUUGUCUUGCUGUAGAACUUGCCCCUAUUCAUUUGUUACACAUUUUGUGUAGCUAUCAAGGAAGAAAGUAAUGGACAUUCACAGGUCAGAGUCUCCCCAUCAGCAUUUGAUGGCAGGGACCGCUGCUUUACAGAAGAUGGAUGUGAAACCAAAAUCAUAUUCUACCAACUUUUAUUUAAUGCAUAUUAUCAUUUAGCAAUACGUUGGUUGUGCCUCCCCGUGAUCAAUGGAGAUCUUCUGUAGAUGUAUUGGAGUUUUGUCAUGCGUUAAACUUCUCAAUGGUUGACCAUGGAAAAUCUGUGUAGUUCUUAUUUUGUACAUAUGCUUCUGGUUUCAAGGAGAAUUCUUACUCCUUUUGGAAUUACCAUCUUUAAACAUUGUAGAUCCCAAUCUCUUGUGUAUUUGCAUCAAAUACUGUUUUUCGAAUGCUUAUCCUGUAUAAUACUAAACUCCCUCCCCCUACUUCUUCUGUCACAUGUGUUGUUCCUUCGUCAUCAGUGAGCUCCAGAAAACACAACUGCAAGCUUUCAGGUCCUAAAUGAGAAGGUAAGGAUGUACUUGAGCAGUAUGAGAAGACCGAGUUCCAUUAUCUCAGAAGCCAGAAGUUUCCCAUUAAUCUUUGGUUCUAAAAUUUGUUUAAGAAAAUGGUCAUUCUGCUAUUAGCACCACGAUUAUGUGUCAAUUGUAGAUUCUUAAUUGGUUAGAAUUAUUUUAUAUGUUUGAUUCCUUUGGUUCAUAUUUAUUCAACAACAAAAUAUUUUCGAGAUUGGUCAAUUUGAGGAUCAAACUUCAAACAUGUGAAUUGAUGUGGCAUCAAGCUAAAUCUAUUGAUACAUAGCUAUCCUUUUUUGCUUUGC
Molecule: non-coding RNA, 3804 nt
Organism: Triticum urartu
Lineage: Eukaryota; Viridiplantae; Streptophyta; Magnoliopsida; Poales; Poaceae
Source: RefSeq, a predicted model, not a curated record